Molecule: long non-coding RNA, 561 nt
Organism: Camelina sativa (false flax)
Lineage: Eukaryota; Viridiplantae; Streptophyta; Magnoliopsida; Brassicales; Brassicaceae
Source: RefSeq, a predicted model, not a curated record
UCUGAUUUUAAAAAUGGUGAUUUGAUUAUAAAAAAAGUAGCGACAGUCGCUGAUUCAGAUCAUGGCUUGGGUUUCAUCGCUGAUUUUUCCGGCGACUCCAAAUUCUUGAUAUUCUAAUCGCAGCGAUCGAAAUUGAAGGCAAGAUGAAGAGAGAGAAAGAAGGAGCAAAGGUAUUUUUCAUGGUCGCUGUCGCUACUGUAGCGACUCAUAAACGAACAGGGCCGAUGUUGCAACGUAUCUUGUGCUUUCUUCUCAUCCACGGUUGCAGAAGGAAGGGUUUCUAACCACUUGGACCAAUUCUUUUGUUGGACCUUGGGAUCCAUCUCAAGGUUUAUACAACCCUGAUGAAAAGAUUAAGCUUUGGCUUUUUCUACCUGGGCGUCAUUCAUCAAUAACUGAUAAAGCUCCGGCUGCUGUCUCAAAGCUUAGAGUUGUUGCGUCAGGAAUUUGGGUAGCACCUGGGGACUCUGAAGAGAUAUCAAUUUGCCUUCUCUCAAUCUUUACGUAAUUGCAUUGAAAGAGCAUUAACCGGACUUUCCUACAUGAGAUUUUGGAGAUGUG